Molecule: transfer RNA, 71 nt
Filed under: Sphaerodactylus townsendi
Lineage: Eukaryota; Metazoa; Chordata; Lepidosauria; Squamata; Sphaerodactylidae
Description: tRNA-Gly
Source: RNAcentral
GGACUAUGGCUCAGUGACGGAGCAUCUGCUUUCCAUGCAGAAGGUCCCAGAUUCAAUCCCAGGCAUCUCCA